AUACGGAGGGUGCAAGCGUUACUCGGAAUCACUGGGCGUAAAGCGCGCGCAGGCGGCUAUUUAAGUUGGAUGUGAAAGCCUACGGCUCAACCGUAGAACUGCAUCCAAAACUAUUAGACUAGAGUGUGGGAGAGGAGGAUGGAAUUAGUUGUGUAGGGGUAAAAUCCGUAGAGAUAACUAGGAAUACCAAAAGCGAAGGCAAUCUUCUGGAACACUACUGACGCUGAGGCGCGAAAGCGUGGGGAGCAAACAGGAUUAGAAACCCUAGUAGUCC
Molecule: ribosomal RNA, 274 nt
Filed under: uncultured bacterium
Lineage: Bacteria
Description: partial 16S ribosomal RNA
Rfam family: Bacterial small subunit ribosomal RNA
Source: RNAcentral